AUGGCGGGCGCUGCUGAUAGAGUUGUGCCCUGCAAUGAAAGGGCCCGUUUCAACAAUGUGACAGGAGAGAAGGUGACGUUUGUGGCAAACCAACGGGCAUACACUGUAAAGUGUUACAAGGGUCACAAAAAGAGCGCUAUGUAUGGGAGAGGUUGGAGGAAGUUCUAUGAAGACAACAAGCUGGGUAAGGGUCAGAUGGUGGUGUUAUUCCUGGAUCAACCUUCGCCUAUGGCAUCUAUUUUGUGGUUCCAAGUGGGCAACGACUCCGAAGAUGAACAGCCUAUGGAGGAGGGUGAUCCCAUUGAAGAUUCAGACUCAGAUAAUGAGGAUGGAGGAGCUUCAAGUGAUGAUGGUGAAGGCAUUGUUCGCACUAGGGGGCUUUUGCUUAAUGAGAGAGAGGAUUUUCAGCUACAAGGGCUGCUGCCUCUUAGUGAUGAUUUCAUCGGGUUUGCUUUUGUUCACCGCCUCACAAGGACAGACAUUUGCUUGGGCAUGAUGAAAAUACCCAAGAAAGUUGUUGCUGCCAUGCUGUUUGAAGAACAGGGGGUUGUUGGUAUUUCUGUGGAUGGUGGGAGAUUCAAAAAAAUCUCAUACAGAACUGCUGAUGAUGACCGCAUUAUGUUUGACAGCAAGAAGUGGAAAGACUUCGCAGCUAGCAGAGGACUCAAAGUCAACACGGCUGUUCUUAUUGACUUCAAGAGUAGCGAGAGGGAUGAUGUCCAUGUCCUGGUUAUCUUGAAUAAGCUUGGCUAG
RNAcentral lists this ribosomal RNA (753 nucleotides) under Triticum aestivum (bread wheat). RNAcentral describes it as "partial small subunit ribosomal RNA". Lineage: Eukaryota; Viridiplantae; Streptophyta; Magnoliopsida; Poales; Poaceae. The record is from RNAcentral.